Molecule: long non-coding RNA, 286 nt
Organism: Rana temporaria (common frog)
Lineage: Eukaryota; Metazoa; Chordata; Amphibia; Anura; Ranidae
Exons: 3
Source: RefSeq, a predicted model, not a curated record
UCUACAGAUGUGAGCACAUGGGUUGCUGCCGCCAUCUUUGUUUGAAACCGUUAGGCUAGAAAUGAGAAACCAGAAGGGGUACAGAUGUUAAACAAGAUGCUUACUAAGCAGCUGGGCUCACUGGCGAAACCGGUCAGACGUGGCUUCCCUGCUGCAUAUCUCCACCCACUGAUCGAGCGAUAUAUUGGACUACAUAUUAUUUUGAUAAGUAUUGAACUUUGGCAAAACCUUUUUUGUUGCACAUUUGCUACAUGUGACCAAUAAACCACCAGAGUUUAAACAUUAA